Molecule: long non-coding RNA, 252 nt
Organism: Thalassophryne amazonica
Lineage: Eukaryota; Metazoa; Chordata; Actinopteri; Batrachoidiformes; Batrachoididae
Exons: 3
Source: RefSeq, a predicted model, not a curated record
UUAGAGCCCCACAGAGAGAAAAGUUUAUUCUGGUUAUGAUGGAUCAGAAGAAUUCACCCCGACAAAUUAACCCCAGAGGAUAAUUUAGACGACACGAUGCGCCAGGGGGAGAGUCUCCUUUAUGACGUUAAUAACGCAGAGCUGAUGUGUUAUAACUGAUGGAGGUCUGUCGAACCAUCAACAGAGCGCUGCGGGGAGGGACUCGCGUUACACGUUUGUGGCGAGGCGAGACCGUCGCUCCUGCAAGAUGCC